GGACGGGUGAGUAAUGCCUAGGAAUCUGCCUGGUGUGGGGGAUAACGUCCGGAAACGGGCGCUAAUACCGCAUACGUCCUGAGGGAGAAAGUGGGGGAUCUUCGGACCUCACGCUAUCAGAUGAGCCUAGGUCGGAUUAGCUAGUUGGUGGGGUAAAGGCCUACCAAGGCGACGAUCCGUAACUGGUCUGAGAGGAUGAUCAGUCACACUGGAACUGAGACACGGUCCAAACUCCUACGGGAGGCAGCAGUGGGGAAUAUUGGACAAUGGGCGAAAGCCUGAUCCAGCCAUGCCGCGUGUGUGAAGAAGGUCUUCGGAUUGUAAAGCACUUUAAGUUGGGAGGAAGGGCAGUAAGUUAAUACCCUUGCUGUUUUGACGUUACCCACAGAAUAAGCACCCGGCUAACUUCGUGCCAUCAGCCGC
RNAcentral lists this ribosomal RNA (423 nucleotides) under Pseudomonas aeruginosa. Its description in RNAcentral is "bacterial SSU rRNA". It matches the Rfam family "Bacterial small subunit ribosomal RNA", at positions 100 to 518 of the family's 1533-position model. Lineage: Bacteria; Pseudomonadati; Pseudomonadota; Gammaproteobacteria; Pseudomonadales; Pseudomonadaceae. The record is from RNAcentral.